AAUGAACGCUGGCGGCAUGCCUAACACAUGCAAGUCGAACGAAGGCUUCGGCCUUAGUGGCGCACGGGUGCGUAACGCGUGGGAAUCUGCCCUUGGGUUCGGAAUAACUCGCCGAAAGGCGUGCUAAUACCGAAUGAUGACGUAAGUCCAAGGAUUUAUCGCCCAGGGAUGAGCCCGCGUAGGAUUAGCUUGUUGGUGAGGUAAAAGCUCACCAAGGCGACGAUCCUUAGCNGGUCUGAGAGGAUGAUCAGCCACACUGGGACUGAGACACGGCCCAGACUCCUACGGGAGGCAGCAGUGGGGAAUAUUGGACAAUGGGCGAAAGCCUGAUCCAGCAAUGCCGCGUGAGUGAUGAAGGCCUUAGGGUUGUAAAGCUCUUUUACCCGGGAUGAUAAUGACAGUACCGGGAGAAUAAGCUCCGGCUAACUUCGUGCCAGCAGCCGCCGCGGUAAU
This 453-nucleotide ribosomal RNA is filed under the name uncultured bacterium. RNAcentral's name for it is "bacterial SSU rRNA". It matches the Rfam family "Bacterial small subunit ribosomal RNA", at positions 29 to 524 of the family's 1533-position model. The record is from RNAcentral.